This 426-nucleotide ribosomal RNA is filed under the name uncultured bacterium. RNAcentral describes it as "bacterial SSU rRNA". It matches the Rfam family "Bacterial small subunit ribosomal RNA", at positions 355 to 773 of the family's 1533-position model. The record is from RNAcentral.
UGGGGAAUAUUGGACAAUGGGGGCAACCCUGAUCCAGCAAUGCCGCGUGUGUGAAGAAGGCCUUCGGGUUGUAAAGCACUUUUGUCCGGAACGAAACGUGUCGGGUUAAUAACCCGGCAAACUGACGGUACCGGAAGAAUCAGCCCCGGCUCACUACGUGCCAGCAGCCGCGGUAAUACGUAGGUGGCAAGCGUUGUCCGGAUUUAUUGGGUUUAAAGGGUGCGUAGGCGGCCCUGUAAGUCAGCGGUGAAAUACGGCAGCUCAACUGUCGAGGUGCCGUUGAUACUGCGGGGCUUGAGUACCGAUGAGGCAGGCGGAAUUGACGGUGUAGCGGUGAAAUGCUUAGAUAUCGUCAAGAACACCGAUAGCGAAGGCAGCCUGCCAAGGGGUAACUGACGCUGAGGCACGAAAGUGCGGGGAUCAAAC